UACAGAGGAGGCAAGCGUUAUCCGGAAUUAUUGGGCGUAAAGCGUCCGUAGGUGGUUUGACAAGUCUGGGGUUAAAGCCCGGAGCCCAACUCCGGAUCGACCCUGGAAACUGUCAGACUUGAGUAAGGUAGGGGUUGCGGGAAUUCCCGGUGUAGCGGUGGAAUGCGUAGAUAUCGGGAAGAACACCAGCGGCGAAAGCGCGCAACUGGGCCAUUACUGACACUGAGGGACGAAAGCUAGGGGAGCGAAUGGG
This 253-nucleotide ribosomal RNA is filed under the name uncultured bacterium. RNAcentral describes it as "partial 16S ribosomal RNA". It matches the Rfam family "Bacterial small subunit ribosomal RNA", at positions 524 to 776 of the family's 1533-position model. The record is from RNAcentral.